This is a non-coding RNA of Mycena metata, 95 nucleotides long. The record is from the annotation of a GenBank genome assembly. NCBI's taxonomy places the organism in Eukaryota, Fungi, Basidiomycota, Agaricomycetes, Agaricales, Mycenaceae.
GCGGACGUGGUGCAGGGUGCACGAUUGCCCUCAAUAUAUGAGCUUAGCGCAGGCUGUUGAAGCAGUCCAACGGGGUUCGAUUCCCCACGUCCGCA